Molecule: ribosomal RNA, 253 nt
Filed under: uncultured bacterium
Lineage: Bacteria
Description: partial 16S ribosomal RNA
Rfam family: Bacterial small subunit ribosomal RNA
Source: RNAcentral
UACAGAGGGGGCAAGCGUUGUUCGGAAUUACUGGGCGUAAAGGGCGCGUAGGCGGCCUGCUAAGUCGAACGUGAAAUCCCCGGGCUCAACCCGGGAACUGCGUCCGAUACUGGCAGGCUUGAAUCCGGGAGAGGGAUGUGGAAUUCCAGGUGUAGCGGUGAAAUGCGUAGAUAUCUGGAGGAACACCGGUGGCGAAGGCGGCAUCCUGGACCGGUAUUGACGCUGAGGCGCGAAAGCCAGGGGAGCAAACGGG